This is a long non-coding RNA of Salvia splendens (bonfire salvia), 827 nucleotides long. RefSeq lists it as uncharacterized. The record is from RefSeq and is a predicted model, not a curated record. Lineage: Eukaryota; Viridiplantae; Streptophyta; Magnoliopsida; Lamiales; Lamiaceae. The transcript is spliced from 5 exons.
ACUGCUCUCUUUAAAAUCUAUACCGCUCAUCAUUUAAUUCAAUAUAUGGAUUGAACACUGUUAGUUAUGUUUCGAUUUUUGUUAGGGCCAUUGAUUUUCCACGGCUUCUGGAACACUCUUAUCAGCCGCAUGACAUGAUUGUUGAGAACAAGAAGCCAAAAGAGUGUUGUGAAGCAGUUGAUCAUGCUAAGAGAUUGGAGGAGGAUCCAAUGCUUUUGCUUAGAGGGUUAUCAUGCUGUCCAUUUAGAUCUUUAUGGUUUAUGGACUUGGUGCUGGUUGCAUUACCUGAGAUUAGUUCCCACAAUAAGCCUUCUACCAAACUAUUCCUCGGAUAAUUGACUAAGAUGACGUUCUUGCACAACCAAGUUAUUUGAACGAGCCUUCAGUUCUUCACAAUCUUCAGGAUAGAUAUUUACAAGAUAAUACAUACUCCAUAGAAUGGCACGCCCUUUAUUACUUUCUGUCAAUCCGGCAAUAUGUCAAUCCAUUUAAAAAUUUCCAGCUAUAUGGGGAUGAUGCAGCAUACCAUGCAUUGGUAGCAGAGCUGAAGUGGAUCAUAUCGGACAUGACAUUAUGCAAGAGAGAUGUGGGUGUGCCUGCAUUGUGGAGUACCACCACUUGACAUCACAUGAUAUGUCAUCUUCUUACGAGAGCUUGCUAUGGGGAAUGCAGUUUGAUUUUUCGUCUCCACAAAAAGGUGUGAUAUCACAUGAUAUCUCAUCUUCUUGUGUGAUAUUGAUUGUAGUCAGCCAGCACUUGGGCAGAAAGUGGGGAGAAAAAAAGGAAAAAAAAGAAAAAGAAGAAAAAAAGAGAUAGCACAUCUGUGG